ACGAACGCUGGCGGCAGGCCUAACACCUGCAAGUCGAGCGGACCCUUCGGGGUUAGCGGCGGACGGGUGAGUCACGCGUGGGAAUAUGCCCUUCUCUACGGAAUAGUCCUGGGAAACUGGGGGUAAUACCGUAUACGCCCUUUGGGGGAAAGAUUUAUCGGGGAAGGAUUAGCCCGCGUUGGAUUAGGUAGUUGGUGGGGUAAUGGCCUACCAAGCCGACGAUCCAUAGCUGGUUUGAGAGGAUGAUCAGCCACACUGGGACUGAGACACGGCCCAGACUCCUACGGGAGGCAGCAGUGGGGAAUCUUAGACAAUGGGGGCAACCCUGAUCUAGCCAUGCCGCGUGAGUGAUGAAGGCCUUAGGGUUGUAAAGCUCUUUCAGCUGGGAAGAUAAUGACGGUACCAGCAGAAGAAGCCCCGGCUAACUCCGUG
RNAcentral lists this ribosomal RNA (432 nucleotides) under uncultured bacterium. RNAcentral describes it as "partial 16S ribosomal RNA". It matches the Rfam family "Bacterial small subunit ribosomal RNA", at positions 29 to 507 of the family's 1533-position model. The record is from RNAcentral.